AUUGAACGCUGGCGGCAUGCCUUACACAUGCAAGUCGAACGGCAGCACGGGAGCAAUCCUGGUGGCGAGUGGCGAACGGGUGAGUAAUAUAUCGGAACGUGCCCAGUCGUGGGGGAUAACGCAGCGAAAGCUGUGCUAAUACCGCAUACGAUCUAUGGAUGAAAGCGGGGGAUCGCAAGACCUCGCGCGAUUGGAGCGGCCGAUAUCAGAUUAGCUAGUUGGUGGGGUAAAAGCCCACCAAGGCGACGAUCUGUAGCUGGUCUGAGAGGACGACCAGCCACACUGGAACUGAGACACGGUCCAGACCCCUACGGGAGGCAGCAGUGGGGAAUUUUGGACAAUGGGCGCAAGCCUGAUCCAGCAAUGCCGCGUGCAGGAUGAAGGCC
This 386-nucleotide ribosomal RNA is filed under the name uncultured bacterium. RNAcentral describes it as "bacterial SSU rRNA". It matches the Rfam family "Bacterial small subunit ribosomal RNA", at positions 29 to 416 of the family's 1533-position model. The record is from RNAcentral.